CGGACGGGUGAGUAACGCGUGAGAAUCUGCCCUUAGGAGGGGGAUAACGGUUGGAAACGACCGCUAAGACCCCAUAUGCCGAGAGGUGAAACAAAUUUUGCCUGAGGAUGAGCUCGCGUCCGAUUAGCUAGUUGGUAAGGUAAGAGCUUACCAAGGCGACGAUCGGUAGCUGGUCUGAGAGGAUGGUCAGCCACACUGGGACUGAGACACGGCCCAGACUCCUACGGGAGGCAGCAGUGGGGAAUUUUCCGCAAUGGGCGAAAGCCUGACGGAGCAAGACCGCGUGAGGGAAGAAGGUCUGUGGAUUGUAAACCUCUUUUGAUAGGGAAGAAGUUCUGACGGUACCUGUCGAAUCAGCCUCGGCUAACUCCGUGCCAGCAGCCGCGGUAAUACGGAGGAGGCAAGCGUUAUCCGGAAUUAUUGGGCGUAAAGCGUCCGUAGGUGGAUGUUCAAGUCUUCUGUCAAAGCGCGGAGCUUAACUCCGUAAAGGCAGAGGAAACUGAGCGUCUAGAGUGCGAUAGGGGCAAGGGGAAUUCCCAGUGUAGCGGUGAAAUGCGCAGAUAUUGGGAAGAACACCGGUGGCGAAAGCGCCUUGCUGGGUCUGCACUGACACUGAGGGACGAAAGCUAGGGGAGCGAAAGGGAUUAGAUACCCC
This 655-nucleotide ribosomal RNA is filed under the name uncultured cyanobacterium. Its description in RNAcentral is "bacterial SSU rRNA". It matches the Rfam family "Bacterial small subunit ribosomal RNA", at positions 99 to 788 of the family's 1533-position model. The record is from RNAcentral. Lineage: Bacteria; Bacillati; Cyanobacteriota.